Molecule: ribosomal RNA, 254 nt
Filed under: uncultured bacterium
Lineage: Bacteria
Description: partial 16S ribosomal RNA
Rfam family: Bacterial small subunit ribosomal RNA
Source: RNAcentral
UACGGGGGAUGCAAGCGUUAUCCGGAUUUAUUGGGUUUAAAGGGUGCGUAGGCUGUGAGGUAAGUCAGCGGUGAAAUGCCCCCGCUCAACGGGGUGAAGUGCCAUUGAUACUGCCUUGCUGGAAUGCGGAUGCCGUGGGAGGAAUGUGUGGUGUAGCGGUGAAAUGCAUAGAUAUCACACAGAACACCGAUUGCGAAGGCAUCUCACGAAUCCGCCAUUGACGCUGAUGCACGAAAGCGUGGGUAUCAAACAGG